GUACCCAUCAGCAGUACAGCAUAAAAAUACGUAUCCCCUUUGUCUUCUCUCCACUCUUCUCUUAAUUUUCUCACUUCAACUUUUUCUCUUGCCUUUUUCCAUUUCCUUGUGUUUUUGCUGUACAGUUCUAGUGGCAUUUUUACAUAAGGGGCACAUGCUAAUGAAUAAUAUCGGUAAUGUUUGUUUUGUGUAUAUUAAUUUCACAAUCAGGGUGGCACAGCUUGAAAGCGUUGGCCUCACAGUUCUGAGGUCUUGGAUUCGAUCCCGGCCCACCCUGUGUGGAGUUUGCAUGUUCGCCCCAUGCCUGCGUGUGUUUUUUUUUUUUUUCCGGGAACUCCAGUUUCCUCCCACAUCCUGAAAACAUGCAACAUUAAUUGGACACUCUGUCAUGCUCCCGGCGCCCAGCCAAGCUGGGCGGGGCCAGGCAAUCAGCACUCACACACUUGCACCUCAUGAACCAUAAUGACUCUCAGUAUAUAUAGGACCCGGGGGACGACUAGUCCUCCGCCUUUGAUGCCUCGUUCCCGCACUCCCGUUUGCCUGACCUCUGCCUUCUGUGUACCGACCCUUGCCUGUCCCUGGACCACCCUUGUAGGCCUGCCGCUACUAGUACUUCUGUUCGUUUGGACUGACUUGCUAGUAACCGACCUCGCCCAGUGCGACCUCCAUUUUGAGUUGCAGGCGUCCGCCUUCCCCACGGACCGCUCCAGAAUCGCCUUCGUCAUUUCCCACAUGACGGGAAGGGCGGAGGCAUGGGCCACGGCGGAAUGGAGUCGCAACUCAGAGACCUGCCGUUCCUGGGCAUUAUUCGUCUGCGCACUCACCCAGGUGUUCCAGUAUGCUGCGCCGGAACGUAGGCGGCGGUUUCACUCAUGACGCUCCGCCAGGUCAUCGCCGUGGAUCUCCCUCCUUUGCUGGACGCUCUCAUAGGAUUGGCUCACAAGUUCGACCAGCGGUUGGUCAUGCAGGGGCAAAUAGAUGCUAUAUAAUAGACGGAGGUCUCCAGUUCGGUUGCUGCCCGGGCAUCCACGCUACCUUCCACGGUCGAACCCAUGCAGGUGGAGGUUCUCGGCGGACCAGCAGAGGAGCGCCUGCGCCGUCGACGGGAGGGGCGCUGUUUCUACUGCGGUCAUCUGGGACACUUGAUCGCACUCUGCCUGGUUUGACCAAAGCGCUCCGACAUCAAGAUCUCCACUCCGUGAUUGUGUUCGUCAACUCCGGGUCGGAUGCUAACCUGAUAAAUCCCCGCGUGGUCAAGGCGUUGGGUGCAGCGACCUUUCCCUACCCAGUGGCUUCGUAAUGCCUAUGCCGCUGACGGCAGGUUCCUCUGCCGGGUAACGCACCGCACUCAGACUUUUCGUAUGGUCUUUCCGGACGCCCACGCGGAGCACAUUAACUUCCACGUUUUCGACUCACGUAGCAGCGAUGUUAUCUUGGGGAGGGCAUGGCUCAAGAAGCACAAUCAACACAUAGAUUGGGCCACGGGUCAGAUCAAGGCAUGGGGCGAGGACUGUUGUAAACGUUGUUUCGCUGUUCAGGAAGACGGGAGGAUUUAAGUGGCACCGGUACGACUUGAGGAAUCGAAUACCGCUUCAGAGCUAACCGCAGUGCCCGCCUGCUAUCACGACCUAAAGGAGGUGUUUUCAGUGACUAAAGUGAAAUCUCUGCCUCCGCAUCGCCCAUGUGACUGUGCCAUUGAACUCGUCCUCGGCACCUCACCUCCUCAAGGGAAAUUAUUUUCCUUAACAGCAACAGAGCACCAGGCCAUGAGGGAAUACGUGGAGGAGUCGCUGGCCGCCGGCCUCAUCCGUCCGUCAUCCUCACCAGCCAGUUCAGGGUUCUUCUUCGUUGAGAAGAAGGACACUAUGCUACGACCCUGCAUCGACUACUGAGGACUCAACAAGGUCACAGUAAAGAACAGGCUUAAUCCUGGCGAAGGGGGAGAUACGUAUGGAUCCCGGGAAGGUCGACGCAGUGCUGGGGUGGCCCACUCCCACUUGUAGGAAGGACGUGCAGAGGUUCAUCGGCUUCGUAAACUUUUAAACUCAAGGCUAGUUUCACCGCCGCACCCAUCCUCAUCGUGCCGGACCCGGAGCUGCAGUUCGUGGUGGAGGUCGACGCGUCAGACUCGGGGAUCGGAGCCAUCCUAUCUCAGAGGAGUCCCAAGGAUGGAAGGAUCCAACCGUGCGCCUUCUUGUCAAAGAAGUUGUCCCCAGCUGAAUGAAACUACGACAUUGGAGACCGAGAGCUGUUGGUGGUCAAGAUGGCAAUGGAGGAGUGGUGUCACUGGCUGGAGGGCUCACAAGUCCCGUUCGCGGUCCUCACCGACCACAAGAACCUCAAGCUCCAAGAACGGCAAGCUGGACACCCUCUCAUAGAUCCACGAGGGGGAGCGCGCGGAAUCGGCAGCCACCUCCAUCCUACCAGAGGCGUGGUUCGUGUCCGGCUUCACCUGGGCGGCCGAGUCGCGGGUGAAGAAGGCCCUGAGGGAGACACCGCCUCCCGUGGGUUGUCCGUCUGAUCGCCUCUUCGUUGCACGGUCGCUGCGGGGGGACGUCAUCACCUGGGCCCAUACCAACAAGACGGUCUGCCACCGGGCAUGGCAAAGACUCGUUCGGUAGUCGAACAGAGAUUCUGGUGGCCCAACCUUUUUUUUUUUUUUUAAUUAAACAAUAUAUUCAUUAGAUUUUUCAUAUAUAAUUUUAGAAAAACAACACAAUAACAGAAAAAUGAAAACAAAAAAAUACACGGUAUACACAGACAUAAUAGUGUGUAAAAAAAAAGCACACAAAUCACAAAUAAUUCACAUUUUUUUUCAAAAACUCUUCUAAGGUUCUCCAUAUUCAGCUCUUCCCCUCGUAAUAUACGUGAGUCUUUCCAGUGCAACACAAGAUGCCAUUUCCAACAUCCAUACUUUUAUUGGACGAAUUUCCACUUUUUUCCAAAAUAGUGCAAUUGUUCUCCUGGCCUGCAGGAGACCAAAGUCUAUAACCGUGUCCUUUUUUUAUUAACAGCAAAAUCCUUGGGAUAUAUACCUAAGAUACACAGUGUUGCGCAAUGAGAAACCUGAUUUCCAACUAUUAUAGAAAUGGUCUGAACAAUAGAUUUCCAAUAAUCUUUGACUUUCCAACAAUCCCAUAAACAAUGAUAUAAAGUACCCUUGUCAUCAGAGCUCUUACUACACAUAUCUGGAAUGUCAAGGGUCCACUGAUGAAGUUUAACAGGAGUCACAUAAGUCCUCAUCAGCCAUUUAUAUUGUAAUAGCCUCAUUCUAGUAUUGUUUGUUUUUGUGCUUUAAGGCAUGCUUGUUACCAAUCAAUUACUUCAAUUUUUUUUCUUUAUCUAGGUUGUGUAUCAUGUGAGACUAAAGAUUUAUCGAACAUAGAUAUCUGCUUACAUCCAUGCAAACCUGACUGGACAAUAUCUUCUAAACUGGAGAAAGGGGAUUCAUACAUUAUGUUUUUGAUUUGUGCUGACAAAAAGUGUUUUAACUGCAGAUAUUUGAAAAAAUACUUAUUGGGAAUAGAAAAUUUUUGACAUAUUUGAAUGAAUGUAAGCGUUUCACCAUUUACAUAAAGGUCACCUAUUGAUUUUAUACCAUUAUUUGCCCAUAAUUUAAAACCCCCAUCUGCUCCUCCAGCUUUAAAAGUCGCAUUACCCCAUAUGGGAGAAAAGUGUGAAAGUAAAGGAGUGUCCCCUAUAUGUUCGUGUGAUUUAAACCAGAUAUCUAUAGUGUUUUUCAAAAAUGGAUUCUUCGUCUGCCGUUUUAAUACUCUAUUCUCAGCAGAAUAUAAAUAAUACUUUAAUAGCAGGUGUGGUACUGUUGCUUGCUCUAUUUUUACUCAAGAGGGUGAUGGUAAUGUUGAAAAAUAAUACGUAGUUGAGCAGACCAGUAAUACCAUUUAAAGUUUGGAAGUUGUAACCCUCCAGUUUCAUAAGGCAUAUAAAGCAACCAUAGUCUUAAUCUGGCUUUCUUAUUAUUCCCAAAAAAAUUCAGGAGCAUUCUGUUGAGUCUAUUGAAAAAGAUGUCAGGUAAUGACAUCAGGUAUGGUUUGAAAAAAAUUUAAACAUUUUGGCAAAACGCUCAUUUUAACUAUGUUUAUAUGUCCCAACAUUGAAAUUAGCAUUGUCAUCCACCUGUCUAAUAACUGUUGUACCUCCAAGAUUAAAGGGUCAUAAUUAACCUGAACUAUAUUGUUAACAUCAGGGGAAAUUUUGACCCCCAAAUAAUUAAAUCCAUCUCUCGUAUUCAAAAAAGGAGUGUUAACAACAGGAUUAAGUCUCUCUUCCGUACUUAAAAAUAAAAUGGAUGACUUUUGUAUCAUUAAUCACAUAACCUGAGAAACUAAUAAACUUUUUCAUUUGCUCCAAUAAAUUUGGAAGGCUCGUGGAUAACUUAGUCAAAAAGAGAAUGACGUCAUUGUCAUGAUCCUGCCGCUCCAGCCUGGGCUGGGCGGGUGUCCGCGGUUGCGCUGAUUGGAAGGUGCACACCUGCGCCUCAUGCAGCCUGAUUAUGCUAUGGAUUUAUAUGACCGCGAUGACAACUGGCCGGCACCAGUUCGUAUGAUCUUCAUGUCCCAUUCGUGUGCUCCGGUAUCCCUGAUUGAACCUGUGUGUACCGACCUUUGUCCGUUCUCCGACCAACCUUGUAAGCCUGACUCCUUUGAUACUUCUGCCUGUGUUGAUUGUUCUCCCGUGUACCGACUCCUGCCUGUCUGCUCAUCUGCUCUCUUUGCCCGUCGUCCCAACUACCGCUGCUGCACCGGACUGCCUGCUCGAUCCCCUACCUCUGCAUAUAAUAAACGUGUCUCUAC
Syngnathoides biaculeatus (alligator pipefish) is the source of this 4814-nucleotide long non-coding RNA. RefSeq lists it as uncharacterized. The transcript has 4 exons. NCBI's taxonomy places the organism in Eukaryota, Metazoa, Chordata, Actinopteri, Syngnathiformes, Syngnathidae. The record is from RefSeq and is a predicted model, not a curated record.